CAGGAUACAUCCCAUCGGGAUG
This 22-nucleotide microRNA is filed under the name Columba livia (rock pigeon). RNAcentral's name for it is "cli-miR-9621-3p". Lineage: Eukaryota; Metazoa; Chordata; Aves; Columbiformes; Columbidae. The record is from miRBase by way of RNAcentral.